GAAGUGAGAAUGCCGGUAUGAGUAGCGAAAGACGGGUGAGAAUCCCGUCCACCGAAUGACUAAGGUUUCCUGGGGAAGGCUCGUCCUCCCAGGGUUAGUCGGGACCUAAGGCGAGGCCGAAAGGCGUAGUCGAUGGAUAACAGGUUGAUAUUCCUGUACUUCUGUUAAUUGUUUGAGCAAUGGAGGGACGCAGGAGGCUAAGUUGAGCGUACGACUGGAAAUGUACGUCCAAGCAGCGAGUCCGCUGAUGAGUGAAAUGCUUGUCACAUACGGGGUGAGCUGUGAUGGGGAGCGAAAUAUAGUAGCGAAGCAACUGACGUCACACUGCCGAGAAAAGCUUCUAGUGAGAUGAACAGAACCCGUACCGCAAACCGACACAGGUAGUUGAGUGGAGAACACUAAGGUGAGCGAGCGAACUCUCGUUAAGGAACUCGGCAAAAUGACCCCGUAACUUCGGGAGAAGGGGUGCUGACAGCGAUGUCAGCCGCAGUGAAUAGGCCCAGGCGACUGUUUAUCAAAAACACAGGUCUCUGCAAAAUCGAAAGAUGACGUAUAGGGGCUGACGCCUGCCCGGUGCUGGAAGGUUAAGAGGAGAGGUUAGUCCUUGAGGCGAAGCUUUGAAUUGAAGCCCCAGUAAACGGCGGCCGUAACUAUAACGGUCCUAAGGUAGCGAAAUUCCUUGUCGGGUAAGUUCCGACCCGCACGAAAGGCGUAAUGAUUUGGGCACUGUCUCAACGAGAGACUCGGUGAAAUUUUAGUACCUGUGAAGAUGCAGGUUACCCGCGACAGGACGGAAAGACCCCAUGGAGCUUUACUGUAGUUUGAUAUUGAGUGUUUGUGUGACAUGUACAGGAUAGGUAGGAGCCGAAGAGAUGGGAACGCCAGUUUCCAAGGAGGCAAUGGUGGGAUACUACCCUUGUUACAUGAACCCUCUAACCCGCACCUAGAAGCAAGGUGGGAGACAGUGUCAGACGGGCAGUUUGACUGGGGCGGUCGCCUCCUAAAAUGUAACGGAGGCGCCCAAAGGUUCCCUCAGAAUGGUUGGAAAUCAUUCGAAGAGUGUAAAGGCAGAAGGGAGCUUGACUGCGAGACCAACAAGUCGAGCAGGGACGAAAGUCGGGCUUAGUGAUCCGGUGGUACCGUAUGGAAGGGCCAUCGCUCAACGGAUAAAAGCUACCCUGGGGAUAACAGGCUUAUCUCCCCCAAGAGUUCACAUCGACGGGGAGGUUUGGCACCUCGAUGUCGGCUCGUCGCAUCCUGGGGCUGUAGUCGGUCCCAAGGGUUGGGCUGUUCGCCCAUUAAAGCGGUACGCGAGCUGGGUUCAGAACGUCGUGAGACAGUUCGGUCCCUAUCCGUCGCGGGCGUAGGAAAUUUGAGAAGAGCUAUCCUUAGUACGAGAGGACCGGGAUGGACGCACCGCUGGUGUACCAGUUGUUCUGCCAAGGGCAUCGCUGGGUAGCUAUGUGCGGGAUGGAUAAGCGCUGAAAGCAUCUAAGCGUGAAGCCAGCUUCAAGAUGAGAUUUCCCAUUCGAAAGAAGUAAGACCCCUGAGAGACGAUCAGGUAGAUAGGCUAGAAGUGGAAGUGGAGUGAUCCAUGGAGCGGACUAGUACUAAUCGGUCGAGGUCUUAACCAC
This 1634-nucleotide ribosomal RNA is filed under the name human metagenome. RNAcentral describes it as "bacterial LSU rRNA". It matches the Rfam family "Bacterial large subunit ribosomal RNA", at positions 1285 to 2925 of the family's 2925-position model. The record is from RNAcentral.